CAGCCGCCGCGGUAAUACAGAGGGUGCGAGCGUUAAUCGGAUUUACUGGGCGUAAAGCGUGCGUAGGCGGCUAAUUGAGUCGGAUGUGAAAUCCCCGAGCUUAACUUGGGAAUUGCAUUCGAUACUGGUUAGCUAGAGUGUGGGAGAGGAUGGUAGAAUUCCAGGUGUAGCGGUGAAAUGCGUAGAGAUCUGGAGGAAUACCGAUGGCGAAGGCAGCCAUCUGGCCUAACACUGACGCUGAGGUACGAAAGCAUGGGGAGCAAACAGGAUUAGAGACCCCCGUAGUCCCUGUCUCUUAUAA
Molecule: ribosomal RNA, 301 nt
Filed under: uncultured bacterium
Lineage: Bacteria
Description: partial 16S ribosomal RNA
Rfam family: Bacterial small subunit ribosomal RNA
Source: RNAcentral